UCCCUUAAAUACCCGUAGGCGGGGAAUUGGCCUUCUCUCGGCCUUAACGCCAUCUUCUUAGAAACCUCUGCGCCAUGAGAGCCAAGUGGAGGAAGAAACGAAUGCGCAGGCUGAAGCGCAAAAGAAGAAAGAUGAGGCAGAGGUCCAAGUAAACUGCUAGUUUGUGUACCCAUGGAAGCCACGGGAGCAGAAAUAAAGGAAGCCAGAGGCCAGGGACACUGGUACAAAUUGUUCGACUGCAUGCCUGCUAUCGAGAACUUGUCGAUGGAUGUGGAACAUACAAGUCUGAUCUCCGAGACCACCUUUUGAAAGAGACCCACGCUGCUCUUACAACAACAGUCCCUUUUGGUCCUUUUCCCUGGACCUGUGACAUUCUGGACUGGUUCUGUUAACAUUUGUGGCUGAAUGUGUACAAUAAAUCAUCUCUUCUUAGUUGAAGAAAACGA
Long non-coding RNA from Artibeus jamaicensis (Jamaican fruit-eating bat), 446 nucleotides. RefSeq lists it as uncharacterized. The transcript is spliced from 4 exons. NCBI's taxonomy places the organism in Eukaryota, Metazoa, Chordata, Mammalia, Chiroptera, Phyllostomidae. The record is from RefSeq and is a predicted model, not a curated record.